GGCUGCAACCCCCUCUUCUCCAUUGGUGAGGAACACCACCAGAGGAUGCAUUGCGUUUUGGAGCUUCCUCUAAUGUCGCUCGAUCGGGAGAUUAGAUGAUUUGCCCCACUUUACAAGGGGUUAGAUGAUUUUCCCCAGGGUUGUCUCAAUGACCAGUGGCCCCGGCCCCACCCGACAGCCUCUCAGGGGGCAAAUUAUCUAAGUGGAAAGUAAAGUGGGGCAAAAGAUCCAAUUUUCCAUCGAGGGAGCCUGCCAAUGGAGGUCAUCGCCUCUCCAUCUCGAUCCGUCUGCCGUCGGGUCCACGACGGAGCAGCUGGAUCCGCCAUGCAGGCCAUGGAUGGGUGCCUUGGAGCUCCUCUGCCGUCGCCUGAUCUGCCCACCCGCCCGUCCUGCGGAUCCGGCUAACAGCCUCGCCACCGGCCCGAUUCAGAUAGACGCCCACAACCUCCUUCCGCCACCUGCUCCAUGCAUGCCCCCAGGUCCGACCGAUCCUGUGUCGCUCAUCCUCGCUGCUUUUUUGUUUGAGGAAAACUCGCUGCUUCUUUUGCUCGCAGCUCGCGAGGAGGCCAGGCGCCUCGUCCAGCCGCCUCGAUCCGGCCUUCUCUACCCCCAGCUCUAGGCCUCAAACGACUCGCUCUUUGGAGAUCGCGGGUCCUCUGUCGAGCGAGGGCGCCGGUGGCGGUGUUCGCUCGGGUGGACUCUGUUCCAUUUUCUUUGCUCCUUCGCGCUUUGGAGAUUCCUUCCGUUCCCUUUCUCUGCAUGUUUUGAUUUCUAAUGUGGCUUGUUGAUUCUCAUGACAACUCUUGUACGCAUUUAAAUUGGUGAGAAUAUAUAUAUGUAUAUCAGCGAGGUGGAACUAUUUAAUUGAA
Long non-coding RNA from Aegilops tauschii subsp. strangulata, 869 nucleotides. RefSeq lists it as uncharacterized. NCBI's taxonomy places the organism in Eukaryota, Viridiplantae, Streptophyta, Magnoliopsida, Poales, Poaceae. The record is from RefSeq and is a predicted model, not a curated record.